UACGGAGGAUGCAAGCGUUAUCCGGAUUCAUUGGGUUUAAAGGGUGCGUAGGCGGACUAUUGAGUCAGUGGUGAAAGCCUGCAGCUUAACGGUAGGAUUGCCAUUGAUACUGUUAGACUUGAAUAUGGAUGAGGUAGGCGGAAUGUGUAGUGUAGCGGUGAAAUGCAUAGAUAUUACACAGAACACCGAUUGCGAAGGCAGCUUACUAAUCCAUCAUUGACGCUGAGGCACGAAAGCGUGGGGAU
This 245-nucleotide ribosomal RNA is filed under the name uncultured prokaryote. RNAcentral describes it as "partial 16S ribosomal RNA". It matches the Rfam family "Bacterial small subunit ribosomal RNA", at positions 524 to 768 of the family's 1533-position model. The record is from RNAcentral.